Molecule: ribosomal RNA, 254 nt
Filed under: uncultured bacterium
Lineage: Bacteria
Description: partial 16S ribosomal RNA
Rfam family: Bacterial small subunit ribosomal RNA
Source: RNAcentral
UACGUAGGGGGCUAGCGUUGUCCGGAUUUAUUGGGCGUAAAGAGCUCGUAGGCGGCUUGGCAAGUCGGGUGUGAAACCUCCAGGCUCAACCUGGAGACGCCACUCGAUACUGCCAUGGCUAGAGUCCGGUAGGGGACCACGGAAUUCCUGGUGUAGCGGUGAAAUGCGCAGAUAUCAGGAGGAACACCGGUGGCGAAGGCGGUGGUCUGGGCCGGCACUGACGCUGAGGAGCGAAAGCGUGGGUAGCAAACAGG